This 331-nucleotide ribosomal RNA is filed under the name uncultured Lachnospiraceae bacterium. RNAcentral describes it as "partial 16S ribosomal RNA". Lineage: Bacteria; Bacillati; Bacillota; Clostridia; Lachnospirales; Lachnospiraceae. The record is from RNAcentral.
GGAGUCUGGGCCGUGUCUCAGUCCCAAUGUGGCCGUCCGCCCUCUCAGGCCGGCUACCGAUCGUCGCUUUGGUGGGCCGUUACCCCGCCAACUGGCUAAUCGGACGCGGACCCAUCCCUCCCCGGAUCUCUCCUUUCCUCUGCUCCCCAUGCGGGAUUCAGAGCUUAUGCGGUAUUAGCAGCCGUUUCCGGCUGUUGUCCCCCAGGCAGGGGCAGGUUGUCCACGCGUUACUCACCCGUCCGCCACUAGGCAAGCACAAGAUUGGCCGAAGCUUCUCAGCGCACUUGCCCCGUUCGACUUGCAUGUGUUAGGCACGCCGCCAGCGUUCAUC